GGGCUUUCGCCGCGCGGAUUUAUCCCUAUAUUGGGAGGGCCGGUUCGCCGGCUAUGGAAAUAAAUGGCCGUCGCAAUAAACCGUUCGGACCCGGGGGCAGCACCCGGCGCCUCCACCAAAGCCCGAUCCGCGCAGGACGGGUUUCGGCGGGGGCGAAACAGGAUCGACGAAGGCGUAAAGGGCGUGUUUUUUCUCGGUAUGGUUCCGCCGAUAUCGGGCCAUGCAAUAGUUGCAAACGACAACUAUGCUCCGGUUGCUCAGGCUGCGUAACGCAGUUUGAAAGACCAUCUUAAAGUCCUAGCGGGUUAAGCUCCGCUAGGCGGGGUCCGGAGGCACCUGGCAACAGAAGCCUCCACU
Molecule: transfer-messenger RNA, 357 nt
Filed under: Afipia sp.
Lineage: Bacteria; Pseudomonadati; Pseudomonadota; Alphaproteobacteria; Hyphomicrobiales; Nitrobacteraceae
Also listed under: 1 other name
Rfam family: Alphaproteobacteria transfer-messenger RNA
About the family: Bacterial tmRNA, also known as 10Sa RNA or SsrA, is named for its dual tRNA and mRNA-like properties.
Source: RNAcentral